Molecule: long non-coding RNA, 1064 nt
Organism: Lagopus leucura (white-tailed ptarmigan)
Lineage: Eukaryota; Metazoa; Chordata; Aves; Galliformes; Phasianidae
Exons: 3
Source: RefSeq, a predicted model, not a curated record
UGUUGGUCAUCAGCUGAGCUGCAACUGUGCCUUCCUCUGGCCAUGAACCCUGCUUAUUUUGGAUCCUAACCUGUGGAUUGAUCCUGACUCAACCUCAGACUUCUUUCAUCACCAAACAGUUGCUGAUGGACUGGGUGUUUGGCUGCCAUCCUCAGGCCUGUCCUGCUUGCUAUGCUUGGUUGCUGUGAGGCUGCACUCUGACAGCGAGGCGCCUGCCUUGCCAGCUGCAUUGUGCUUGGCUCCCGGCUCCCUGUCUUUCAGAUAGCAGAUGAUUCUUGCUGUAUUUCUACAAUAACUAUGCACUUGCCAAUAAGAUUGAUGUAGAAUGUUACAAGUUUAUUUUAAAGAAGAGCUGUCAACAAAUAAUAAUAAAAAAAAAUUGCAAUCAAAAUCGAUAAUACAAAACAUCAGGAUGCUUUAGGUGACUAUGUUUCAUGUAGAGGAGGUAAUUGCUUCUGUUGACUUGAGGGAAGGCUUACAUUUGACUUCUCUCUUCAUCGGGCCAAGAUAUCCUUAAGUCAAAUUCAUGCAUGGAGGGUAGAAAAAAGAAAUGGCUGAGGAAUCUGGAGCAGAAGCAGAAGACAUGGAUGGAACAAGCACUCCUAGGGUGGCGUGUAACACUGAAUACAGCCGGGAGCCUAUCGCAAACCUAUGUGAGGUGACAGACAACAGGGAGUGGCAGUGCUUUAAAUAAGAGGUGUGAGCAGCUUCAGAAAAUGGCCUCCUCAGCUGGACCUGGUGAUGGUCAUUUGGGCAACAUUUGCCUCGGUUUGUAAUGAAAAGCUACCGAAGGAUUGAAACAGAAGUCAAGAAUUAGAAGAAGGCUCAUGAGAACUUCACAGAAAGGCAGGAAAUCUGUGGUGAAACACAGGAAGUCAGCAGUCUUUUUUUAGUUGACACCGAGGUUGGAGGAGAUGCUGCUGGAGCUGAUGAGGUCAGGGAAGCUCUUCCUCGCAGAGCACGGCUGGGCACCUCACAGGUCCCCAGAACCAGGAGGCACAGGUGGUUUUCAUUGUGUCAGUGGCCUUCACUCCUUGGUGAGGAGGAGGAAAGGCCUUUUCAGG